Corapipo altera (White-ruffed manakin) is the source of this 479-nucleotide long non-coding RNA. RefSeq lists it as uncharacterized. The transcript has 4 exons. The record is from RefSeq and is a predicted model, not a curated record. Lineage: Eukaryota; Metazoa; Chordata; Aves; Passeriformes; Pipridae.
UGCAUACACAUUCCCUGAAUACACAUUUUCCACAACUUAUUUUCAAUUGACAACCUUCAAAAUUUCUCUGAUUCUUAGACAUCUACAAGACUUAGUCAUCCCUCUAAUGAAUUGUCUACUGAGGAAAAGGCACUGCUGCUGUCUUCCUUUCUUGAAGGCUCUACUGAGAAAAGAGCAGCUUCAGAGUAAAUUGAGCUCUUGCAGGAGCCUGACCACCAGAGGCUGCUGAAGACAGCACUAGUCAGCCCAGGUUAUAUUUCACUACCAAGUCUUUCUUGUGACAUCAGAACUUCCUUGGAGAAGGAAAUCCUAUGCUUUGAAAUGCUAUCCUCCAGAGAUAUUGGGAAAAGCCCUUCCAGAAGUCUGGCAUUCAGAGAAUAAGAUGUUACACCAUGACAGCAAAAUACUACCUUGAAGAUCUGAAGAGACCAAAGAAUGCAUCUCAAUGGAUUAAGAGGCUGGGCUUUGAUGGAACUGGC